This 415-nucleotide ribosomal RNA is filed under the name uncultured bacterium. RNAcentral describes it as "bacterial SSU rRNA". It matches the Rfam family "Bacterial small subunit ribosomal RNA", at positions 355 to 787 of the family's 1533-position model. The record is from RNAcentral.
UGGGGAAUAUUGCACAAUGGGGAAGACCCUGAUGCGGCGACGCCGCGUGAGCGAAGAAGUAUUUCGGUAUGUAAAGCUCUAUCAGCAGGGAAGAAAAUGACGGUACCUGACUAAGAAGCCCCGGCUAACUACGUGCCAGCAGCCGCGGUAAUACGUAGGGGGCAAGCGUUAUCCGGAUUUACUGGGUGUAAAGGGAGCGUAGACGGAUGUGCAAGUCUGAAGUGAAAGCCCGGGGCUCAACCCCGGGACUGCUUUGGAAACUGUGUAUCUAGAGUGCCGGAGAGGUAAGCGGAAUUCCCAGUGUAGCGGUGAAAUGCGUAGAUAUUGGGAGGAACACCAGUGGCGAAGGCGGCUUACUGGACGGUAACUGACACUGAUGCUCGAAAGUGUGGGUAUCAAACAGGAUUAGAUACCC